Molecule: unclassified non-coding RNA, 244 nt
Filed under: Glomeraceae sp.
Lineage: Eukaryota; Fungi; Glomeromycota; Glomeromycetes; Glomerales; Glomeraceae
Description: partial contains 5.8S ribosomal RNA and internal transcribed spacer 2
Rfam family: 5.8S ribosomal RNA (bases 1-71)
Source: RNAcentral
GUGAAUCAUCAAAUCUUUGAACGCAAAUUGCACUUUCUGGUAUUCCGGAAAGUAUGCCUGUUUGAGGGUCAGUUAAAUAAAAAUCGGAGUUGUUGCCGCUUUUCGUGGCGUCGCGUCGGAAUUGAGUUGUCUUACCUUCGGUUAAGUGACUUAAAAUUUUGCAUGAUUUUCGAACGUAUUUAAAUUUCUUUCUUACGUUUAAAAUAUCGAAUACUUUAUUAGUUUCCGUCAUCCUCAUUGUUCG